Mya arenaria is the source of this 334-nucleotide long non-coding RNA. RefSeq lists it as uncharacterized. The transcript is spliced from 3 exons. The record is from RefSeq and is a predicted model, not a curated record. Lineage: Eukaryota; Metazoa; Mollusca; Bivalvia; Myida; Myidae.
UGUCUCUCUUGAUGUACGCGGCAACUUGCUGUCGGGGGUCGGGGUGAAGGUGAGAGAAGGGAUGUCAGCGCAUGAAAGACCUGGUUCAGCUGCAGGAGAAGAACGUACAAGUAUUUCUUCCCUAAAGUAGACCUAAAUAUACUGCUCAUGGAAGAAGCCGGCAAAAAAUUGAUUGGCGAAUAUGACUUCCGCAACUUCUGCAAGUUCAAUGUUAAAGAUGGCAUUACAAACUAUGUUCGAAAAAUCAUGGAGGUUGAAGUCAAGACUCUAGAUGAGACCGAUGACGGAUUCACAAUGUGCGAACUCACCAUCGUCGGGAGGGCGUUCCUGUGGC